GUGCCAGCAGCCGCGGUAACACCGGCGGCCCGAGUGGUGAUCGUGAUUAUUGGGUCUAAAGGGUCCGUAGCCGGUUUGGUCAGUCCUCCGGGAAAUCUGAUAGCUCAACUAUUAGGCUUUCGGGGGAUACUGCCAGACUUGGAACCGGGAGAGGUAAGAGGUACUACAGGGGUAGGAGUGAAAUCUUGUAAUCCCUGUGGGACCACCUGUGGCGAAGGCGUCUUACCAGAACGGGUUCGACGGUGAGGGA
This 250-nucleotide ribosomal RNA is filed under the name uncultured archaeon. Its description in RNAcentral is "partial 16S ribosomal RNA". It matches the Rfam family "Archaeal small subunit ribosomal RNA", at positions 455 to 704 of the family's 1478-position model. The record is from RNAcentral.